RNAcentral lists this ribosomal RNA (305 nucleotides) under uncultured bacterium. RNAcentral describes it as "bacterial SSU rRNA". It matches the Rfam family "Bacterial small subunit ribosomal RNA", at positions 335 to 638 of the family's 1533-position model. The record is from RNAcentral.
UUGCCUACGGGAGGCAGCAGUGAGGAAUAUUGGUCAAUGGACGAGAGUCUGAACCAGCCAAGUAGCGUGAAGGAUGACUGCCCUAUGGGUUGUAAACUUCUUUUAUAUGGGAAUAAAAUGUUCCACGUGUGGGAUUUUGUAUGUACCAUAUGAAUAAGGAUCGGCUAACUCCGUGCCAGCAGCCGCGGUAAUACGGAGGAUGCGAGCGUUAUCCGGAUUUAUUGGGUUUAAAGGGUGCGUAGGCGGGCUGUUAAGUCAGCGGUAAAAGCCCGGGGCUCAACCCCGGCGAGCCGUUGAAACUGGCU